UUCCAGACUCCUACGGGAGGCAGCAGUGGGGGAUAUUGCACAAUGGGGGAAACCCUGAUGCAGCGACGCCGCGUGGGCGAAGAAGUAUUUCGGUAUGUAAAGCCCUAUCAGCAGGGAAGAAGAAAUGACGGUACCUGAGUAAGAAGCACCGGCUAAAUACGUGCCAGCAGCCGCGGUAAUACGUAUGGUGCAAGCGUUAUCCGGAUUUACUGGGUGUAAAGGGGGCGCAGACGGCAGCGCAAGCCAGGAGUGAAAGCCCGGGGCCCAACCCCGGGACUGCUCUUGGAACUGCGCGGCUGGAGUGCAGGAGGGGCGGGCGGAAUUCCUGGUGUAGCGGUGAAAUGCGUAGAUAUCAGGAGGAACACCGGUGGCGAAGGCGGCCUGCUGGACUGCGACUGACGUUGAGGCCCGAAAGCGUGGGGAGCAAACAGGAUUAGAUACCCGUGUA
Molecule: ribosomal RNA, 448 nt
Filed under: uncultured bacterium
Lineage: Bacteria
Description: bacterial SSU rRNA
Rfam family: Bacterial small subunit ribosomal RNA
Source: RNAcentral